GGGGAAUAUUGCACAAUGGGCGAAAGCCUGAUGCAGCAACGCCGCGUGAGUGAUGAAGGCCUUCGGGUCGUAAAGCUCUUUGAUCAGGGAUGAUAAUGACAGUACCUGAAAAACAAGCCACGGCUAACUACGUGCCAGCAGCCGCGGUAAUACGUAGGUGGCGAGCGUUGUCCGGAAUUACUGGGCGUAAAGGAUGCGUAGGUGGAUAUUUAAGUGGGAUGUGAAAUCCCCGGGCUCAACCCGGGAACUGCAUUCCAAACUGGGUAUCUAGAGUGCAGGAGAGGAAAGCGGAAUUCCUAGUGUAGCGGUGAAAUGCGUAGAUAUUAGGAGGAACACCAGUGGCGAAGGCGGCUUUCUGGACUGUAACUGACACUGAGGCAUGAAAGCGUGGGUAGCAAAC
This 400-nucleotide ribosomal RNA is filed under the name uncultured bacterium. RNAcentral describes it as "bacterial SSU rRNA". It matches the Rfam family "Bacterial small subunit ribosomal RNA", at positions 356 to 773 of the family's 1533-position model. The record is from RNAcentral.